ACACAUGCAAGUCGAACGAUGAAGAUUAUUAGACUUCUUCGGAAUGAAAAUAAUUGGAUUAGUGGCGGACGGGUGAGUAACGCGUGAGUAACCUGCCUUACACAAGGGGAUAGCCGUUGGAAACGACGAAUAAUACCCUAUGAAACUAUCACUUCGCAUGAAGCGAUAGUCAAAGUGUUAGCGGUGUAAGAUGGACUUGCGUCUGAUUAGCUAGUUGGUGAGAAAAAAGCCCACCAAGGCAACGAUCAGUAGCCGGCUUGAGAGAGUGUACGGCCACAUUGGGACUGAGACACGGCCCAGACUCCUACGGGAGGCAGCAGUGGGGAAUUUUGCACAAUGGGGGAAACCCUGAUGCAGCGACGCCGCGUGAUUUAGAAGGCCUUCGGGUUGUAAAAAUCUUUUGUAUAGGAAGAAAAUGACAGUACUAUACGAAUAAGGUCCGGCUAAUUACGUGCCAGCAGCCGCGGUAAUACGUAAGGACCGAGCGUUGUCCGGAAUCAUUGGGCGUAAAGGGUACGUAGGCGGGUCAUUAAGUUAGAAGUCAAAGGCUAUAGCUCAACUAUAGUAAGCUUCUAAAACUGGAGACCUUGAGUAAUGGAAGGGAAAGUGGAAUUCCUAGUGUAGCGGUGGAAUGCGCAGAUAUUAGGAGGAAUACCGGUGGCGAAGGCGACUUUCUGGCCAUUAACUGGCGCUGAGGUACGAAAGCGUGGGUAGCAAACAGGAUUAGAUACCCUGGUAGUCCACGCCGUAAACGAUGAGUGUUAGGUGUCUGGAGUAAAUCUGGGUGCCGCAGCUAACGCAUUAAACACUCCGCCUGGGGAGUACGCACGCAAGUGUGAAACUCAAAGGAAUUGACGGGGACCCGCACAAGCAGCGGAGCAUGUGG
RNAcentral lists this ribosomal RNA (886 nucleotides) under uncultured bacterium. Its description in RNAcentral is "bacterial SSU rRNA". It matches the Rfam family "Bacterial small subunit ribosomal RNA", at positions 51 to 944 of the family's 1533-position model. The record is from RNAcentral.